GGCUAAAUACUACUAUGCGACGAUAGUGAACUAGUACCGUGAGGGAAAGGUGAAAAGAACCCCUGCGAGGGGAGUGAAAUAGUACCUGAAACCGCACGCCUACAAGCAGUGGAAGGGCUAUGCCGCAAGGCAGCCUGACCUCGUGCCUAUUGAAUAAUGAGCUGGCUAGUUAAUCUCAGUGGCAAGGUUAAGCGUAAGCGAGCCGAAGCGAAAGCGAGUCUGAAUAGGGCGUUCAGUCGCUGGGAUUAGACGCGAAGCGGGAUGAUCUACCCUUGGCCAGGAUGAAAUCUGUGUAACAACAGAUGGAGGUCCGAACUAGUGUUGGUUGAAAACAGCUUGGAUGAGCUGAGGGUAGGGGUGAAAGGCUAAUCAAAUUCCGUGAUAGCUCGUUCUCUCCGAAAUAGCUUUAGGGCUAGCCUCGCGUGGUCCGUCCCGGUGGUAGAGAUCUGGCUGAACUAGGGGGCCUUCCCAGGCUACCGAAUUCAAUCAAACUUCGAAUGCCGGGCACGAGUAACGCGGGAG
This 522-nucleotide ribosomal RNA is filed under the name uncultured bacterium. Its description in RNAcentral is "bacterial LSU rRNA". It matches the Rfam family "Bacterial large subunit ribosomal RNA", at positions 464 to 983 of the family's 2925-position model. The record is from RNAcentral.